CUUAGUGGCGGACGGGUGAGUAACGCGUGGGGAACCUGCCUUGCACCGGGGGAUAACACUUAGAAAUAGGUGCUAAUACCGCAUAAGCGCACAGAGCCGCAUGGCUCGGUGUGAAAAACUCCGGUGGUGCAAGAUGGACCCGCGUCUGAUUAGCUGGUUGGCGGGGUAACGGCCCACCAAGGCGACGAUCAGUAGCCGGCCUGAGAGGGUGAACGGCCACAUUGGGACUGAGACACGGCCCAAACUCCUACGGAAGGCAGCAG
RNAcentral lists this ribosomal RNA (263 nucleotides) under uncultured bacterium. Its description in RNAcentral is "partial 16S ribosomal RNA". It matches the Rfam family "Bacterial small subunit ribosomal RNA", at positions 91 to 354 of the family's 1533-position model. The record is from RNAcentral.